This 413-nucleotide ribosomal RNA is filed under the name uncultured marine eukaryote. Its description in RNAcentral is "SSU rRNA". It matches the Rfam family "Eukaryotic small subunit ribosomal RNA", at positions 1 to 418 of the family's 1831-position model. The record is from RNAcentral.
AACCUGGUUGAUCCUGCCAGUAGUCAUAUGCUUGUCUCAAAGACUAAGCCAUGCAUGUCUAAGUAUAAGUAUUAUACAGCGAAACUGCGAAUGGCUCAUUAAAACAGUUAUAAUUUAUUUGAUAAUCGAAUUUACAUGGAUAACCGUGGUAAUUCUAGAGCUAAUACAUGCUGGUAGGCCCGACUUUUUGGAAGGGCGGUAUUUAUUAGAUAACAAACCAAUAUUCCUCUGGUCUAUUGUGGUGAAUCAUAAUAACUGAUCGAAUCGCAAGGUUUUUAACCGCGAUAAGUCAUUCAAGUUUCUGCCCCAUCAGCUUUCGAUGGUAGUGUAUUGGACUACCAUGGCUUUUACGGGUAACGGAGGAUUAGGGUUCGAUUCCGGAGAGGGAGCCUGAGAAACGGCUACCACAUCUA